GGACUGGGGGCACCCGCCUCCGCAACCUCCAAGAUGGAGGCGAAGUGGAGGCCCGCCUUUUCCGGGCCUGCCUUUUAGGACUCUGGCCUCGGGCCGUUGAUUUUUGCAGAUGCUGCCGAGACGGCGGCAGCCCCACUGGAGAGUGAGUGAGUGAGUGAGAGUGAGUGAGUGUGUGUGUGUGUGUGUGUGUGUGUGUGUGUUCUCGCUUCCGUCGGGGCGAGUGCCCAAGUGUGAUCCAGUGUGUGUGUGUGUGUGUGUUCUCGCUUCCGUCGGGGCGAGUGCCCAAGUGUGAUCCAGUGUGUGUGUGUGUGUGUGUGUGUGUGUGUGUGUUCUCGCUUCCGUCGGGGCGAGUGCCCAAGUGUGAUCCAGUGUGUGUGUGUGUGUGUGUGUGUGUGUGUGUGUUCUCGCUUCCGUCGGGGCGAGUGCCCAAGUGUGAUCCCCCGUGGUCCGCCACCCAAAGACACUUUAGUCCAGGGCGUAGGCUCUUGGACGGACAGCCGCUUUGCUUUUUGGAAGUCGCCCGAGUCUUCUUGGGGAAUCGCUAGCAGAGCAAAUCGGGAAUCCGGUCUGCUGGACCGGUCCGACCUCGGAAGCAGGAUAAGAUCUCAGCUCUGGGCUGGAUCUUUCUUUUUGCACCUUCCCUGCUAGUCUGGACCAGAAGAGGAAUCAUUCACUCCGUCUUCUGAGGAGCUCACCACCGACUCCUUCACCUCGCUUCCUGUCACUUCGUCCUGUUUUCUUUCCUUUAUAGAACGUGCCGCUAUGAUAGAUCAGUGUUGAAUGUCUUUCCAGUCUAGUUGCAAAAUCUACCUUUGCACACGGUACCUAAAUUUCAUGCAUGACUAUGUUCUCGGCACUUAGAACUGUGUUUGGCACAAAGUCCAGGAAAAAUGUCUGAAUAGACAGCGAUCUAACGGCACAGGCUCGGCUGUGUUGGGGGCCACACUCGCUAGUUCCCAUUCUUUGGAUUCAAGCCCAUCUCACCACACAAGCCAGUUUUAUUUAAUGGAUGGCUUCCUGUGGCCAGGCAUCAUGCUGGGUAAUGGAGUAAACGUUGCUUAUAAAAUCACUGUCCUGUUUUCAAAGUAGAGAAGAGAAUCUGGGAACCGAGAUAAGGAAGACACACAAACGUCUACAGAGGCCCUCUCCAUGCAGUGGGCACGUGGCUGGGGGAGAAGCCCCGCUCCUCCCCCUGAGACUACUGGCGCUGUCACCAGACUUGACAUCCAGCCUUCAGUGACUCCUCGGUAAGAACCUGGUACUGUGCGUGUCCACCACGUACCUGUGAGCCCAUGUCUGCGUGGAAACCAGAGCUCUGCAUGCAUUCCAGUUCACACCCAUGGGGAGGGAGAGAAGCAACCAAUGCCUUCAGCACACCAAUCUCCACCCAUAAAUCAUGCUGCAGUUUCGCAGUAGAACACCUGCCGUUUCACAGAGUCCCUGUAAGACGGAGUCGUAUUACAAGUGGUUCCUGUGCCAGGCAUUGUGCCGGUUGAAACUUCAUCACAACUGUGUGAGUUGCAGGGAUCCCUAACCUCUGGGAUCCAAAGCCUGAUGAUCUGAGGUGGAGCUGAUGUAAUAACAGAAAUAAAAGUGCACAAUCAAUGUGAUGCACUUUAAUCAUCCAGAAACCAUCCCUCCUACCCCAGUUGGUGGAAAAACUGUCUUCCAUGGAACUGGCCCCUGGUGCCCAGAAGGUUGGGGAUAGCUGAAUUCCUGCACCUAUGAGGAAAGUGAGGCCUAUAAAAGCAUAUUCUCAUGGUGCAGAUAAUGAAACCAGGCCUCACAUGUAAUAUUUACAUCAAGUGGUAAAUAUUCAAGUCGGUGCCAAGAAAUGUGGUAGAGACAGUGGUGGGACAUUAGGACCACCUGGGGAAUCUAAACCCGUUUCGUCAGAAUGAACUGGGAUCAACAAGGCUGAAAGACACAUCAGGAAGAGCUGAGUGACCACACCCAGCCUUUUGAGGAAGACCUGACCCCCCCAUAAGGCUCUCCCAUCCCUCCCUCCGCCUGCUCACCAGUGCCCAGCAGGUCCUCCAGUGGGCUCUUCAUCCUCUGAACCCCAGGACAUCUGCCCGCCAGCCCAUUUCUACUUAGCGAUCUGUUCGUCUGUUAGGAGACUCGUGUGUUCUUUCCUCGAAGAUGCAACUAGAUCUGAGUGAAACACACUGAAUAAAGGAAAGGAAAGCUGAAUACUCUCUAGGAAGUAACUGAUAAGAGAGGCCCAGCCAUUUCAACAUCUUGAUUGUACAACCAGGAGACGGCACUGAUGGAGGCUCUUUGAAGUUCAAACCGACACUGGGGUCCACCUACAAACUGCUAUUACAGUUCUCCUUUUUCUCCACAGCAGAGUGAGAGCUACAGAAAACUCUCCACUGUGAGCCGUGAGCAGUCCUCUUCCCAGGUCUUUCUCUGCUGCUUAGGAGCAGCACCCAGAGGGGCCCCUCGCAUCAGGCUUCUUCUGGAUGCAGAUUCCUUUAGUGCUUUUGGGAUUUACUACUUUCCCUGACAAGAACAGCGACUGGGGCAGUGACUCCUGUUUGGUAACUGAGCUGCUGUAAGUAUGUUUUGAAAAAUAGAUGCCAAAAACUUGCAUGUUAAUGUUCCUAGCAGCAUUAUGAAGAAUAGUCAAUAGGUUGGAAACAACCCAGAUGCCCAUCAGCAGAUGAAAUACAGGAUAUCCAUACAAUGGAAUACUAUCCAACAAUAAAAAAGGGACCAAGUGUGGGUUCAAGCUGCAACAUGGAUGAACUUUGAAGACAUUAAGCUAAGUGAAAGAAGCCAGACAAAAAGGCUGCAAAUUAUAUGAUUCCAUUUGUGGCAAAUGACCAGAACAGGCAGAUCUAUAAAGACAGAAAGUAGAUUUACGGCUGCAAGAGACUGGGAUGGGACAUUGGGGAGAAAGAGGGGUGACUGCUGCUGGAUAUGGGAUUUAUUUUGGGGGUGAUGAAAAUGUUCUCAAAAUCGGUUGUGGUGGUGAUUACCCAACUCUGUGAAUGUGCUAACCACCACUGACUUUUACACCUUGCAUGCAUGCAUGCUCAGUUACUCCAGUCAUGUCUAAUUCUUUGUGACCUCACGGACUGUAACCUGCCGGGCUCCUCUGUCCAUGGAAUUUUCCAGGCAAGAAUAUUGGAGUGGGUUGCCAUGCCAUCCUCCAGGGGAUCUUCCUGACCUAGGGAUCAAACCUGCAAUCUCCUGUACUGGCAGGUGGAUUCUUUACCCAAUAAUCCACCUGGGAAGCCCAACUUCAUACCUUAAAAGAGUGAACUGAAGGGUAUGUGAGUUAAAUCUCAAUGAAGCUGUUUUAAAAAACACUA
Long non-coding RNA from Bubalus bubalis (water buffalo), 3320 nucleotides. RefSeq lists it as uncharacterized. The transcript has 2 exons. Lineage: Eukaryota; Metazoa; Chordata; Mammalia; Artiodactyla; Bovidae. The record is from RefSeq and is a predicted model, not a curated record.